This is a small nucleolar RNA of Notamacropus eugenii (tammar wallaby), 135 nucleotides long. Ensembl annotates it as small nucleolar RNA, H/ACA box 49. Its record names the gene SNORA49. The record is from Ensembl. NCBI's taxonomy places the organism in Eukaryota, Metazoa, Chordata, Mammalia, Diprotodontia, Macropodidae.
UUUCCUCAGCCUUACUCCAGGGGCUUUCUUGCCCAUAGAGUGCCCUGGCAUUGCCUGAGGAGAUAUCAGAAAGCACAUUUCCCUCCCCAAUAAGAGCUGGAUUUUCUUUUGGGGCCUACAGUUGGAGCUGACAUU